Molecule: ribosomal RNA, 253 nt
Filed under: uncultured bacterium
Lineage: Bacteria
Description: partial 16S ribosomal RNA
Rfam family: Bacterial small subunit ribosomal RNA
Source: RNAcentral
UACGGAGGGAGCUAGCGUUGUUCGGAAUUACUGGGCGUAAAGGGCGCGUAGGCGGCCUGCUAAGUCGAACGUGAAAUCCCCGGGCUUAACCCGGGAACUGCGUCCGAUACUGGUGGGCUUGAAUCCGGGAGAGGGAUGUGGAAUUCCAGGUGUAGCGGUGAAAUGCGUAGAUAUCUGGAGGAACACCGGUGGCGAAGGCGGCAUCCUGGACCGGUAUUGACGCUGAGGCGCGAAAGCUAGGGGAGCAAACGGG